Molecule: ribosomal RNA, 592 nt
Filed under: Rhodotorula sp.
Lineage: Eukaryota; Fungi; Basidiomycota; Microbotryomycetes; Sporidiobolales; Sporidiobolaceae
Description: partial large subunit ribosomal RNA
Rfam family: Eukaryotic large subunit ribosomal RNA
Source: RNAcentral
CGGAGGAAAAGAAACUAACAAGGAUUCCCCUAGUAGCGGCGAGCGAAGCGGGAAGAGCUCAAAUUUAUAAUCUGGCACCUUCGGUGUCCGAGUUGUAAUCUCUAGAAGUGUUUUCCGCGUUGGACCGCACACAAGUCUGUUGGAAUACAGCGGCACAGUGGUGAUACCCCCGUACACGGUGCGGACGCCCAGCGCUUUGUGAUACACUUUCAAAGAGUCGAGUUGUUUGGGAAUGCAGCUCAAAUUGGGUGGUAAAUUCCAUCUAAAGCUAAAUAUUGGCGAGAGACCGAUAGCGAACAAGUACCGUGAGGGAAAGAUGAAAAGCACUUUGGAAAGAGAGUUAACAGUACGUGAAAUUGUUGGAAGGGAAACGCUUGAAGUCAGACUUGCUUGCCGGAGCUUGCUUCGGUUUGCAGGCCAGCAUCAGUUUUUCGGGGUGGAUAAUGGCGGUUUGAAGGUAGCAGUCUCGUGCUGUGUUAUAGCUUUCCGCUGGAUACACCCUGGGGGACUGAGGAACGCAGCGUGCUUUUAGCGAAGGUUUCGACCUUUUCACGCUUAGGAUGCUGGUGGAAUGGCUUUAAACGACCCGUCU